This 258-nucleotide long non-coding RNA is filed under the name Elaeis guineensis (African oil palm). RNAcentral's name for it is "long non-coding RNA (EGUI_LNC059103)". Lineage: Eukaryota; Viridiplantae; Streptophyta; Magnoliopsida; Arecales; Arecaceae. The record is from RNAcentral.
UUUCAGAUGGGCAUGAGAAUUCAUCAGGAGAUGUGAGAUUUUUUGAUGGAUGCGAGAUGACGUGUGGAAGGGGCGUGAAUAAUUUCUGAAGGCAACCCAUCGCUAAGUAUUUAAAGGGGGGUGCGCCGGGGGAUUGGAUUCAUUCAGAUUUCCAAUUCCUCCUUUUUUUGAACAUUCUCUCCCUACUGUUCAAUUAGUCCCUUCCUUCUCUUAUUAGGACAAAUCCAAAAUAGUAAGGACAAGUUCAAUUUUAGGACA